UGCUGGGAACAGCCGCUCUAG
RNAcentral lists this non-coding RNA (21 nucleotides) under Mus musculus (house mouse). The record is from RNAcentral. Lineage: Eukaryota; Metazoa; Chordata; Mammalia; Rodentia; Muridae.